This 301-nucleotide ribosomal RNA is filed under the name uncultured bacterium. RNAcentral describes it as "partial 16S ribosomal RNA". It matches the Rfam family "Bacterial small subunit ribosomal RNA", at positions 509 to 807 of the family's 1533-position model. The record is from RNAcentral.
CAGUCGCCACGGGAAUACAGAGGGUGCAAGCGUUAAUCGGAAUUACUGGGCGUAAAGCGCGCGUAGGUGGUUUGUUAAGUUGGAUGUGAAAGCCCCGGGCUCAACCUGGGAACUGCAUCCAAAACUGGCAAGCUAGAGUACGGUAGAGGGUGGUGGAAUUUCCUGUGUAGCGGUGAAAUGCGUAGAUAUAGGAAGGAACACCAGUGGCGAAGGCGACCACCUGGACUGAUACUGACACUGAGGUGCGAAAGCGUGGGGAGCAAACAGGAUUAGAGACCCCUGUAGUCCCUGUCUCUUAUAC